AUUAAGAUGCUGAAAUGUUAACUUGAGGGCAAUAAGAAAACUGUUGAGGAAUUUGCAGCAGGAAUGAAACGCUGAUAUUUUAGGAAAAUUAUAGUGAUGGCCACUGGAGGAUGGAUUAGAGAGGAUGAGUCUGCUGGCUGGAAGACCAAUUGGAAGACUACUGCAGCCAUAGAGUUGAUAGCAAACAGAAGACACAAAGUGCACAUAUUGCCCUGGCUUCUGAUUUCAUGACAAAUUGGCAUGGUAAUACUUAAUACUUAACAGUUGCAGAAAAAUAGAAAGAUCUAAAUGGGGGAAUUAGAAAAUAUGGAGCUCUUAAAUAACGGACUUGGAUUUGAGAAUUAUUACAAGCCAUUAAUCAUUAUAGGUCUCCCCGGAAAUGAAUGAAUGAGAAUUUAUCAUUGCUCUUAUUAGGUCCGUGCCUCCAAAACUUCUUCAGGAGGAUUUUCUGAAGCUCCAGUGGCUGCUGUUGUUUGAGUUUGGUUUGGAGCAAAACUGAGGUAGUCCUAACAUUUCUGGGACUGAAUCCAGGCAAGAGAAAGAAGAAAAAGAGGAGGAAAAAGGUAGGGAGAAAUAAAGGGAGGAGAGAAGCAUAGGGAAAGAAAAAAAAAGUCCCUUUUCGACAUCACAUUCCUGUGUUUUCCCUCAGCCUGGAAAACAUAUUAAUCCCAGUGCUUUUACGCCCGGAAACAAAGAGACUAAGCCAGACUGUGGGGGAAAG
This 721-nucleotide small RNA is filed under the name Pongo abelii (Sumatran orangutan). RNAcentral's name for it is "processed transcript". The record is from RNAcentral. Lineage: Eukaryota; Metazoa; Chordata; Mammalia; Primates; Hominidae.